AUGCCUCUUUUCAAAAACAACAGUUUCCAAUAAAAGUAAAGUCGGAAAUCUUUUCGGAAAGAAGAACCGUUCAAUUCUCAAAAACUCAAAAGCCUUUCAAAACGGUUUAUCUAUGCGGAACCAAAAUAGCCUUUCAUAAUUUUUUUUCCAAACCAGAAACACAAAACCGAAAUCAACCAUCAGUUCAUCUCUUUCCAACCACGGCCCUAGGCCCAAACAAUCCAACCAACAACCAAUCACCACAAUCCAACAGAGUUUCAGAUGCAAACACAAAUAGGAAGAUGCAGGCACAAACAAACAGUUAUUGCAAGUAGGACAAUUAGCAAUUAAUCACAAAGGCAAGCCAAGUACAAUAUGCACACCCAAGCAAUGUCACAUAGAUGCAUAUGAUGAAUGCCUGUCCCUAGUGGCUGAUGAUAUCAUCUGUCGGUUAUAGA
Molecule: long non-coding RNA, 437 nt
Filed under: Arachis ipaensis
Lineage: Eukaryota; Viridiplantae; Streptophyta; Magnoliopsida; Fabales; Fabaceae
Description: long non-coding RNA (AIPA_LNC000691)
Source: RNAcentral